AUUGAACGCUGGCGGCAGGCCUAACACAUGCCAGUCGAGCGGAUGAAGGGAGCUUGCUCCCGGAUUCAGCGGCGGACGGGUGAGUAAUGCCUAGGAAUCUGCCUGGUAGUGGGGGAUAACGUCCGGAAACGGGCGCUAAUACCGCAUACGUCCUGAGGGAGAAAGUGGGGGAUCUUCGGACCUCACGCUAUCAGAUGAGCCUAGGUCGGAUUAGCUAGUUGGUGGGGUAAAGGCCUACCAAGGCGACGAUCCGUAACUGGUCUGAGAGGAUGAUCAGUCACACUGGAACUGAGACACGGUCCAGACUCCUACGGGAGGCAGCAGUGGGGAAUAUUGGACAAUGGGCGAAAGCCUGAUCCAGCCAUGCCGCGUGUGUGAAGAAGGUCUUCUGAUUGUAAAGCACUUUAAGUUGGGAGGAAGGGCAGUAAGUUAAUACCUUGCUGUUUUGACGUUACCAACAGAAUAAGCACCGGCUAACUUCGUG
Molecule: ribosomal RNA, 484 nt
Filed under: uncultured bacterium
Lineage: Bacteria
Description: partial 16S ribosomal RNA
Rfam family: Bacterial small subunit ribosomal RNA
Source: RNAcentral